RNAcentral lists this ribosomal RNA (460 nucleotides) under uncultured bacterium. Its description in RNAcentral is "partial 16S ribosomal RNA". It matches the Rfam family "Bacterial small subunit ribosomal RNA", at positions 28 to 507 of the family's 1533-position model. The record is from RNAcentral.
GACGAACGCUGGCGGCGUGCUUAACACAUGCAAGUCGAGCGGUAAGGCCUCUUCGGGGGUACACGAGCGGCGAACGGGUGAGUAACACGUGGGUGACCUGCCCUCAGCUCUGGGAUAAGCCUGGGAAACUGGGUCUAAUACCGGAUAUGACCUUUCCUCGCAUGGGGUUUGGUGGAAAGUUUUUUCGGCUGGGGAUGGGCCCGCGGCCUAUCAGCUUGUUGGUGGGGUGAUGGCCUACCAAGGCGACGACGGGUAGCCUGCCUGGGGGGGCGACCGGCCACACUGGGACUGAGACACGGCCCAGACUCCUACGGGAGGCAGCAGUGGGGAAUAAUGCGCAAUGGGCGGGAGCCUGACGCGGCGACGCCGCGUGGAGGAUGACGGCCUGCGGGUUGUAAACCUCUUGCGACCCCGACGAAUUUGGGCGGUAGGGGUAGGAGAAGCACCGGCCAACUACGUG